This 376-nucleotide ribosomal RNA is filed under the name uncultured soil bacterium. RNAcentral describes it as "bacterial SSU rRNA". It matches the Rfam family "Bacterial small subunit ribosomal RNA", at positions 26 to 404 of the family's 1533-position model. The record is from RNAcentral.
AGAUUGAACGCUGGCGGCAGGCCUAACACAUGCAAGUCGAGCGGCAGCACGGGUACUUGUACCUGGUGGCGAGCGGCGGACGGGUGAGUAAUGCCUAGGAAUCUGCCUGGUAGUGGGGGGAUAACGCUCGGAAACGGACGCUAAUACCGCAUACGUCCUACGGGAGAAAGCAGGGGACCUUCGGGCCUUGCGCUAUCAGAUGAGCCUAGGUCGGAUUAGCUAGUUGGUGAGGUAAUGGCUCACCAAGGCGACGAUCCGUAACUGGUCUGAGAGGAUGAUCAGUCACACUGGAACUGAGACACGGUCAGACUCCUACGGGAGCAGCAGUGGGAAUAUUGACAAGUGGGCGAAAGCUGAUCCAGCCAUGACCGCGUGU